GUACGGUCGCAAGAUUAAAACUCAAAGGAAUAGACGGGGACCCGCACAAGCGGUGGAGCAUGUGGUUUAAUUCGAUUCUACACGAAGAACCUUACCUAGGCUUGACAUUGAGAGAAUCCGCUAGAAAUAGUGGAGUGUCUGGCUUGCCAA
This 150-nucleotide ribosomal RNA is filed under the name Helicobacter pylori. Its description in RNAcentral is "partial 16S ribosomal RNA". It matches the Rfam family "Bacterial small subunit ribosomal RNA", at positions 880 to 1034 of the family's 1533-position model. The record is from RNAcentral. Lineage: Bacteria; Pseudomonadati; Campylobacterota; Epsilonproteobacteria; Campylobacterales; Helicobacteraceae.